UUCGUAGUUGAACAGAGGGCCGUCGAGUGCGCUGCCCGGUCCCGCCCGGUUCGGGUUUUUCGGCGACCUCAGCCCUUGCGGCCCGCGAACAUUCAAAGAAACACGAAACACGGGAGCGAUUCCUUUCCUGACUCACGCGUGCCAUGCAUGCCAGGGGGCGUCCGUGAUUUUUACUGUGACUAAAGAAGUGCGACCAAAGCAGUCAUUUCGACUUGAAUUAGAAAGCAUGGGAUAACAAGAGACAGCCUUGGGGCUACCGUUUCGGCUUUUGUUGGUUUUAGAGGUCCUUUGGAGAUUAUGGGUCCCCGGCGCGACGCGCCGCGUGGCGUGUGUUCACUCAUUCGUCSCGCGUYGKCUKGGUGCGCGUGYUUUUCUGYGCGCGUGGCCAACUCGCCGGCCCAGGAAUGAAGGAGGGUAGUCGGGGGAGAACGUACUCGAGCGUCAGAGGUGAAAUUCUUAGACCGAUCGAAGACGAACUACAGCGGAGGCAUUCUUCAAGGAUACCUUCCUCAAUCAAGAACCAAAGUGUGGAGAUCGAAGAUGAUUAGAGACCAUUGUAGUCCACACUGCAAACGAUGACACCCAUGAAUUGGGGA
RNAcentral lists this ribosomal RNA (596 nucleotides) under Strigomonas oncopelti. RNAcentral's name for it is "SSU rRNA". It matches the Rfam family "Eukaryotic small subunit ribosomal RNA", at positions 629 to 1070 of the family's 1831-position model. Lineage: Eukaryota; Euglenozoa; Kinetoplastea; Trypanosomatida; Trypanosomatidae. The record is from RNAcentral.